CAAGUCGAACGGCAGCACGGGGGCAACCCUGGUGGCGAGUGGCGAACGGGUGAGUAAUGCAUCGGAACGUAUCCUUAAGUGGGGGAUAACGCACCGAAGGGUGUGCUAAUACCGCAUAAUCUCUGAGGAGAAAAGCAGGGGAUCGCAAGACCUUGCGCUUUUGGAGCGGCCGAUGUCUGAUUAGCUAGUUGGUGAGGUAAAGGCUUACCAAGGCGUCGAUCAGUAGCUGGUCUGAGAGGACGACCAGCCACACUGGGACUGAGACACGGCCCAGACUCCUACGGGAGGCAGCAGUGGGGAAUUUUGGACAAUGGGGGAAACCCUGAUCCAGCCAUGCCGCGUGAGUGAAGAAGGCCUUCGGGUUGUAAAGCUCUUUCAGCCGGAACGAAACGGUCACGGUUAAUACCCGUGACUACUGACGGUACCGGAAGAAGAAGCACCGGCUAACUACGUGCCAGCAGCCGCGGUAAUACGUAGGGUGCGAGCGUUAAUCGGAAUUACUGGGCGUAAAGCGUGCGCAGGCGGUUUUGUAAGUCAGAUGUGAAAUCCCCGGGCUUAACCUGGGAACUGCGUUUGAAACUACAAGGCUAGAGUGUGGCAGAGGGGGGUGGAAUUCCACGUGUAGCAGUGAAAUGCGUAGAGAUGUGGAGGAACACCGAUGGCGAAGGCAGCCCCCUGGGUUAACACUGACGCUCAGGCACGAAAGCGUGGGGAGCAAACAGGAUUUAGAUACCCUGGUAGUCC
This 744-nucleotide ribosomal RNA is filed under the name uncultured Nitrosospira sp. Its description in RNAcentral is "bacterial SSU rRNA". It matches the Rfam family "Bacterial small subunit ribosomal RNA", at positions 58 to 796 of the family's 1533-position model. The record is from RNAcentral. Lineage: Bacteria; Pseudomonadati; Pseudomonadota; Betaproteobacteria; Nitrosomonadales; Nitrosomonadaceae.